RNAcentral lists this ribosomal RNA (113 nucleotides) under uncultured fungus. RNAcentral describes it as "partial 18S ribosomal RNA". It matches the Rfam family "Eukaryotic small subunit ribosomal RNA", at positions 773 to 887 of the family's 1831-position model. The record is from RNAcentral. Lineage: Eukaryota; Fungi.
GUUUAAAGCAAGCUCACGCUUGAAUACAUUAGCAUGGAAUAAUGAAAUAGGACGUUUGAUUCUAUUUUGUUGGUUUCUAGGAUCGACGUAAUGAUUAAUAGGGAUAGUUGGGA